RNAcentral lists this small nuclear RNA (118 nucleotides) under Brassica napus (rape). RNAcentral's name for it is "snRNA U5". It matches the Rfam family "U5 spliceosomal RNA". Rfam says of the family: U5 RNA is a component of both types of known spliceosome. The record is from Rfam by way of RNAcentral. Lineage: Eukaryota; Viridiplantae; Streptophyta; Magnoliopsida; Brassicales; Brassicaceae.
AGCCAUGUGGUGAGCACAAAGCGAACUAUUCUUUCGCCUUUUACUAAAAAAUACCGUGUGCUCUCCAUGCUUAAAUGGCAUACGCCUUUUUUUGGAGGUACCUGCUUUCGAGUGGGCC